UGGACGCAUCGGGGGCGCGCGUGACAGU
This 28-nucleotide small RNA is filed under the name Bombyx mori (domestic silkworm). RNAcentral describes it as "ovarian small RNA-34561". The record is from RNAcentral. Lineage: Eukaryota; Metazoa; Arthropoda; Insecta; Lepidoptera; Bombycidae.